Molecule: ribosomal RNA, 427 nt
Filed under: uncultured Comamonadaceae bacterium
Lineage: Bacteria; Pseudomonadati; Pseudomonadota; Betaproteobacteria; Burkholderiales; Comamonadaceae
Description: partial 16S ribosomal RNA
Rfam family: Bacterial small subunit ribosomal RNA
Source: RNAcentral
UGGGGAAUUUUGGACAAUGGGCGCAAGCCUGAUCCAGCCAUUCCGCGUGCAGGACGAAGGCCUUCGGGUUGUAAACUGCUUUUGUACAGAACGAAAAGCCUUGGGUUAAUACCCUGAGGUCAUGACGGUACUGUAAGAAUAAGCACCGGCUAACUACGUGCCAGCAGCCGCGGUAAUACGUAGGGUGCGAGCGUUAAUCGGAAUUACUGGGCGUAAAGCGUGCGCAGGCGGUUUUGUAAGACAGAGGUGAAAUCCCCGGGCUCAACCUGGGAACUGCCUUUGUGACUGCAAGGCUAGAGUGCGGCAGAGGGGGAUGGAAUUCCGCGUGUAGCAGUGAAAUGCGUAGAUAUGCGGAGGAACACCGAUGGCGAAGGCAAUCCCCUGGGCCUGCACUGACGCUCAUGCACGAAAGCGUGGGGAGCAAACA